GACGAACGCUGGCGGCGUGCCUAACACAUGCAAGUCGAACGGAGUGAUGAUUUCGGUUAUCACUUAGUGGCGAACGGGUGAGUAACGCGUGAGAAACCUGCCUUUCAGUGGGGGACAACAGUUGGAAACGACUGCUAAUACCGCAUAAUGUCAUUUGGGGGCAUCCCUGGAUGACCAAAGAUUUAUUGCUGAAAGAUGGUCUCGCGUCUGAUUAGCUGGUUGGCGGGGUAACGGCCACCAAGGCGACGAUCAGUAGCCGGUCUGAGAGGAUGAACGGCCACAUUGGGACUGAGAUACGGCCCAG
Molecule: ribosomal RNA, 304 nt
Filed under: uncultured bacterium
Lineage: Bacteria
Description: bacterial SSU rRNA
Rfam family: Bacterial small subunit ribosomal RNA
Source: RNAcentral